UAUUAAUUUUUUGUAUAUAUAUUAUAUUUUACGAUUAAUAAAGUAGAGGCGAUGCGUAUGCCAGCUCUACAAAGUGUCGAGGCAGUGGAAUUUCCCUAGGUAUAGCCGAUCAGCCCUCCGAUUUGGACACCAUCCUCGGGAUUGUCGCUUCUGCUUUUUUGUGCGGGGAUCUUAAUCGCCAAAUCUGCAUGGAACAGCCGAGCCGAUAACUCGAUUGGGCACAUCCUCGAGGCCUACGCUGUUGAGCAGUCGUGCAUGCUAGGUCCCCAGCAACCAACACACUUGGCGACUACAGGCACAGUGGACGUACAGUAUAUUGCCAUACUUAAAGAUAUACGUCUCUCUACGGGAAUUGAAGCGCUCCACGAGCUGUCCUCCGAUCACUUCCCAGUUAUUCUCGAUUUAGGGGACGAGAAGGGCACAUCAAAGAAUUUCCUGUAUUUUUUAGUGACUGGGAAAAAUAUACAAAGGUACCAGAAACCACGCUGCCGCGGUCGGUCAUUACUGUCACGCCCGCCCUGCCGGAAAAUGCUUUUGCCCUUUUCGAAACCGCACUAAACAUGGCUUACACUACUGCCACGAUAGCUCGUGAAGUAACGUACUGCCCUGAUCGCCUGCCUGACGUACUAAAGACACUUACCUGCCAACCUCGACUUCUUAUUCGAGUAGCCAUAUUGUCGCAGAGCGCCCUCAAACCUGCACUUAAUCGACUUCACAGAAUCAGGCAGCAGAAGCCGUUCCUCCUUUUGGAAAUUUGUUAAAAGGUUAAAAAAUCGGGGUCUUGCACCACUACCGCCCCUUUGUGAAGGAAAUAUAGUGGCCGAGAGUGAUGGAGAUAUAGCUACGCUUUUUGCCAAUGAACUGCUUAAGCUAGUUAAUAUUAACGAGGUGCAAGCAAUUGUCGAAGCGCUACCUAAACGGAAGGAGCUUUGCCCCGAUGACAUCACUAAUGAGAUACUGAAGAAAAGCCAUUAAUAGGAAUGAUCUAUCUUUACCUCCUGAUGAAAUCUUCGACAUUCUCCUUGGCACCUUUCCGUUUCGAUGGAAGACGGCGAGCGUUGUGAGGCUACCAAAAACACUGACACCAGAAUCAGUAACUAGCAGGUACAGAUCCAUCAGUUUACUGUCAGCGGUCGGCAAAGUGGAUGAGGUCGUUGACGCUUGGAAAGCUUUACCAGAGUUUCAGUUUGGAUUUUGGCAAGGGCACCCAACGAACCAGCAGCUCCUUCGCAUAAUUGAAUAAACCACUCGCGCUUUUAACCAUAAGAAGGCAACAGGCAAUAUCUUUCUUGACGUUGAGAAGGCAUUUGCUCAAGUUUGGU
Long non-coding RNA from Zophobas morio, 1322 nucleotides. RefSeq lists it as uncharacterized. The record is from RefSeq and is a predicted model, not a curated record. The transcript is spliced from 4 exons. NCBI's taxonomy places the organism in Eukaryota, Metazoa, Arthropoda, Insecta, Coleoptera, Tenebrionidae.